GACGAACGCUGGCGGCGUGCUUAACACAUGCAAGUCGAACGGAAAGGCCCUGCUUUUGUGGGGUGCUCGAGUGGCGAACGGGUGAGUAACACGUGAGUAACCUGCCCUUGACUUUGGGAUAACUUCAGGAAACUGGGGCUAAUACCGGAUAGGAGCUCCUGCUGCAUGGUGGGGGUUGGAAAGUUUCGGCGGUUGGGGAUGGACUCGCGGCUUAUCAGCUUGUUGGUGGGGUAGUGGCUUACCAAGGCUUUGACGGGUAGCCGGCCUGAGAGGGUGACCGGCCACAUUGGGACUGAGAGACGGACCAGACUGCUACGGGAGGCAGCAGUGGGGAAUAAUGCACAAGGGGCGGAAGCCUGAUGCAGCAACGCCGCGUGCGGGAUGACGGCCUUCGGGUUGUAAACCGCUUUCGCCUGUGACGAAGCGUGAGUGACGGUAAUGGGUAAAGAAGCACCGGCUAACUACGUG
RNAcentral lists this ribosomal RNA (468 nucleotides) under uncultured bacterium. RNAcentral describes it as "partial 16S ribosomal RNA". It matches the Rfam family "Bacterial small subunit ribosomal RNA", at positions 28 to 507 of the family's 1533-position model. The record is from RNAcentral.